AAUAAUCGCUUUUGUGGGACUAUCUUCUGUUAGAUCACCUCUUCUUAAUGGUGAAUACCACGCCAUUUUGUCUCUUGGAUUCGCCAACCUCUGACGUAGAAAGCCAAUGAACCGACUGUGCAACCUUCCCAAAACGUACAAAGUGGCCGUUCCUUGCACAAGUUGAAAAGAUCAACUAUUAAAGGACAUGGACGGAACCGUCAGCCCGUAGUGCGGAGAAGCGAUGAAUAUCCUGUUGAGAAUGCUAAGCGUGGAUUCUAAGCCUCAUAAACCUUUUUGGGGAAUUUUGACAACCUUCGGCUAGAUUGGUUUAGUGGCUCAUGAUUUUUAGGGAAGAAAUAAAUAAAAUAGAUAUGAGAUUUUUAUUGAAGAAAAUAUGGAAAGAAC
RNAcentral lists this long non-coding RNA (387 nucleotides) under Gossypium barbadense (sea-island cotton). RNAcentral's name for it is "long non-coding RNA (GBAR_LNC005791)". The record is from RNAcentral. Lineage: Eukaryota; Viridiplantae; Streptophyta; Magnoliopsida; Malvales; Malvaceae.